AAGUCGUAACAAGGUCUCCGUAGGUGAACCUGCGGAGGGAUCAUUAUCGUCGGGGGCUUCGGCCCCGUCGAGAUAGCACCCUUGUCCUCCUCGGCGCACUUGUAUCGUUUCCUCGGGCUGGUCCCCAGCCCGAACGGACCCCAACCAAACCCUUUUUGCAGUGCCUGUCUCAGUCUGAUCGUAAACAAAAUCGUUAACAACUUUCAACAAUGGAUCUCUUGGUUCUGGC
Molecule: unclassified non-coding RNA, 229 nt
Filed under: fungal sp.
Lineage: Eukaryota; Fungi
Description: partial internal transcribed spacer region
Rfam family: Eukaryotic small subunit ribosomal RNA (bases 1-46)
Source: RNAcentral